RNAcentral lists this long non-coding RNA (239 nucleotides) under Mytilus galloprovincialis (Mediterranean mussel). Lineage: Eukaryota; Metazoa; Mollusca; Bivalvia; Mytilida; Mytilidae. The record is from RNAcentral.
CAUUCAUGGAUUUUCACAUCAUUGGCGCUGCGAGCAAUUACUACUUGUACAAACAAGUGUUAUAUAGGUGCCUGGCAGUUAGAUAUGGGGUCAUGGUGGUUGACCAGCGGUCAUAGGAUGACCAUUACAUAUCUAGGUGGAACUGGCCAGAGGAUUUCCGAGUAGAUGUCUCGGGGUUGUACAGGUAGUGGACCUGUGAGUUGCUCGGAUGGAUGGUACGCAGCCCGAAAAGGGGGAAG